AAAAGUUAGAAGUUUUGCAAAACUGUUUCUAACGGAAACCGUUUACUCCAAACGGAAAACGUUUGGCAACGAAAACGCUAGUUUCUAAUAGACAAAUACAGGUGAAGUGACAGGCGAGGCAUGCUGCUGCAAGGAGUUUCUGCUGAAUGCGGAACAACCGCAAGCAGUUCAAAUAGGUCCCUUCUCAUUACCUGCCUGCCUGCCUGCCUGCCUGCCUGCCUGCCUGCCUGCCUGCCUGCCUGCCUGCCUGCCUGCCUGCCUGCCUGCCUGCCUGCCUGCCUGCCUGCCUGCCUGCCUGCCUGCCUGCCUGCCUGCCUGCCUGCCUGCCUGCUAUGUGGCUACCUCUAUCUAUAUAUCCAUCGAAAUCAAUACCCUACUCUAUCUCCAUAAUGGCAUAAAAUUAUGAUAAUAUGUCAAAUCUAUGUUUUUGAAUUAAAAAAACGUAUGCAUCCAUAAAGGGAGCUUCCUCCUGUAUAUUUGCUGCAUUGCAAGUUACUUUCCUUCUUGCCAUGAUCAUUGAUCGGCUCCUAACAAACAAGCCUGCCGCGAAGAUUGUAAAGACUAUACAGCCUUUGAUCCACAUGAAUGAAGUCAAUCAAUCAGUGAAGUGCUGCCAUGUACAAUGUCUAGGGGCGGACUGGCCAUCUGGCAUUUUGGGUAUAUGCCAGAUGAGCCGGCCCAUUUUUAGCCCUAUCCUCCCAUGUACAAUGUCCCUGAUAAUGUUCUGA
Molecule: long non-coding RNA, 728 nt
Organism: Oncorhynchus gorbuscha (pink salmon)
Lineage: Eukaryota; Metazoa; Chordata; Actinopteri; Salmoniformes; Salmonidae
Exons: 3
Source: RefSeq, a predicted model, not a curated record